RNAcentral lists this unclassified non-coding RNA (372 nucleotides) under uncultured Oscillospiraceae bacterium. RNAcentral's name for it is "contains 16S-23S intergenic spacer region". Lineage: Bacteria; Bacillati; Bacillota; Clostridia; Eubacteriales; Oscillospiraceae. The record is from RNAcentral.
UCCGUUUUGUCAACGGCAGUCUCGCCAGAGUGCUCUUGCGUAGCAACUGACAAUAAGGGUUGCGCUCGUUGCGGGACUUAACCCAACAUCUCACGACACGAGCUGACGACAACCAUGCACCACCUGUCACCGAAUUCCUCCGAAGAGGCACUCCAACCAUUACGUCGGAUUCUCGGGAUGUCAUGACCUGGUAAGGUUCUUCGCGUUGCGUCGAAUUAAACCACAUACUCCACUGCUUGUGCGGGCUCCCGUCAAUUCCUUUGAGUUUCAACCUUGCGGCCGUACUCCCCAGGUGGAAUGCUUAUUGCGUUAACUCCGGCACGGAAGCUUGCGCCCCCACACCUAGCAUUCAUCGUUUACGGCGUGGACUAC